CCUGGAUUUAGGUGAAUUUACUUUUUUACCGAACAAAACUGUCGAACGGACGGCCACCCAGAAGAGAAGUGUGCUGCUGGUUAACCUAUUGAUCCCAAUUAGAACGUUGCGGUUAACCACAGACACUUCUCAAUUAAAACCGAAUACAGGGUGGUCGUCGUUCAUAUGUCGACCACGAGGCGGCAGCCAUUUUAAACCAUGCGAAAGACCAGCG
Molecule: non-coding RNA, 214 nt
Organism: Pelobates cultripes (western spadefoot toad)
Lineage: Eukaryota; Metazoa; Chordata; Amphibia; Anura; Pelobatidae
Source: the annotation of a GenBank genome assembly